UACGAAGGGGGCGAGCGUUGUUCGGAUUUACUGGGCGUAAAGGGCGCGUAGGCGGCCUUGUCAGUCAGGCGUGAAAGCCCCGGGCUCAACCUGGGAACGGCGCUUGGGACGGCGAGGCUGGAGUUCGGGAGAGGAGAGUGGAAUUCCCAGUGUAGAGGUGAAAUUCGUAGAUAUUCGCAAGAACACCAGUGGCGAAGGCGGCUCACUGGUCCGGAUCUGACGCUGAGGCGCGAAAGCGUGGGGAGCAAACAGG
RNAcentral lists this ribosomal RNA (253 nucleotides) under uncultured bacterium. Its description in RNAcentral is "partial 16S ribosomal RNA". It matches the Rfam family "Bacterial small subunit ribosomal RNA", at positions 524 to 776 of the family's 1533-position model. The record is from RNAcentral.